This 255-nucleotide ribosomal RNA is filed under the name uncultured bacterium. RNAcentral describes it as "partial 16S ribosomal RNA". It matches the Rfam family "Bacterial small subunit ribosomal RNA", at positions 524 to 776 of the family's 1533-position model. The record is from RNAcentral.
UACGGAGGGUGCAAGCGUUAUCCGGAUUCACUGGGUUUAAAGGGUGCGUAGGUGGGAAAGUAAGUCAGUGGUGAAAUCUCCGUGCUUAACACGGAAACUGCCAUUGAUACUAUUUUUCUUGAAUUUUCUGGAGGUCAGCGGAAUAUGUCAUGUAGCGGUGAAAUGCUUAGAUAUGACAUAGAACACCAAUUGCGAAGGCAGCUGGCUACGAGGGAUGAUUGACACUGAGGCACGAAAGCGUGGGGAUCAAACAGG